GACAGCAAAACCUUAAUGAUAGUCCAAGUUGCCCCAGUGGAGAAGAACGUGAACGAGACACUUUCCAGUCUGAGUUUUGCGCAAAGAGUGCGCACAGUGGAAUUGGGCAUGGCCAGUAAGAAGACAGAGUCCUCCGAGGUGGCUGACCUUAAGGAGAGGCUCGCACAGUAUGAGGGUGGGCGCUCUACGCCAACGAAAGGCACUUCUUCCCGGCCAACGUCAGCGGUAAAAAGAAAGUGAGGACAAUUUUCUGGCAGUGGUUCAGUGUACUUAAGACUGCCAUGAGUCUCUGCAACAUAAAUAUGAUCAUAUAAUGAUAAGUUAGUUAAAUGAAUUUCUGUACACCCAACACUGAUAUUUCAUAGUACUAGCACUCUGCCAUGCCACAUUGGCUGAUUUAUGUCAUCUGUAUUCCAAUAAAGUAUGACUGUUUAUAAACAAAUAUAUUUUUCAAAUAUGUGCAAAAUGUACAUUGUCCUGUUUGAUUGCACUAAUUUAUUCCUAAUCUUCAACUGUUAUUGUUAUGAAAACUGUAUUAUAAAUGGCAUAAAGCCAUAGACCAAUAUAGGACAAUGUUCGAAUUAUUCAUAUAAGAUAAUUUACCAGAAUUUAUAAUUGUAUGAUUUUUUUAUUGAAUUAUUUACAAUCUCCUGGGGCUUUAUCUCCUGUUAUAAAAACCAAGAACCAAGUUAAGUAAUUCCAAUGUCAAGUUUUAAGGUUGUGAGAAAGAUUUGUCUGAAAGGUUGAUAUACAGACCUACCAUAAAAUAUACUGUCCUUUUUGAAAUUCUUUGUGUAUAUAUCAAACUUUUGUUCUUUGUCGUCCUUAGCAAGUAACUGAUGAGUCAGUACUAGGAGCAGUGUAAAGUUGUACAGUUUCAGUUCUUAACUCUCCUGGUCCAAAAGUUAGUGCGUGCAAGCUUCAUCUUUUCCAAACACUUCCCUGUGUCUAAAUGUUGGUACACGUGAUAUUGAAACUGGCAAGGUAAUAUUAAUUUUGUAAUUUUCUUCAUUUACUGGCCACAGUUUCUGCUUUGAGUCAGUAGAUUCUUAUAGUCCCUGGUGGUCUGAAGGGCUAGUUGGCUGAAUAAAAGAGUAUUUAAAAGUAGAAUAAGGUAACAAUCAAGUGGGUCUAUUCUUAAUAUAUACAUCUUGUAGAAGUAUGAAGGUUGUGUAAGAAGCCAAAUUAUUUCCAGUCCGAGUUCCAGAAAUUGAUGGAAACGGCAGAGACAUGAGGAGUUAGUUUUCAGCAAUCUGGAAAUCUCCUUGUGAAUCAGUAAAUGGGGGUUACCAGCUUCAUUGUAUCAAGGUUUAAGUAACUAAGCAAAUUUAUAUUUAAUUUAUUUUAAUUACUUAUGUCUUUCUUGAAUAGACCACAAAUGAAGUGCAGGUUUCCAAAGGUUAAAAUAGGUAAUAUGAUAUUUUGAAAUUAUUUAGUAAUUAUGUAAAUUGUAUCCAUGCACAAUUUUCAUUCAUGUAGAAUUUAAGUACAAAAAUUGUUGAAUUCCUAAUACUGUAUUAUCAUGCAGUGGAUAUUUUAUGCAGAUCACUCAAUUUUAGUGUUUAACAAUCAAUGUCAACAAAACUAUGCAAUUCAUGGGAGCAUGUCUCAUUCUGCUUUAUAAGAUAUAUAUUAUUAUUUCUACAAAAAUACGUUAUUAAUAUAUAUGUGUAUUAGGUUGAAGAGCCAAAGAACCUGAAAAGAAUUUGAGCCCAAUAAGUUUUACACAGUUUAAUUCCCAUGUGAAGUUUCUUUAUAUUUGACUUUUGUCAUUAUGCUAAUUAUUGAUAUUAAAAUAUAUUUCAGAAAAUA
Molecule: long non-coding RNA, 1812 nt
Organism: Lingula anatina
Lineage: Eukaryota; Metazoa; Brachiopoda; Lingulata; Lingulida; Lingulidae
Source: RefSeq, a predicted model, not a curated record